CGCGUGAGAAUCUGCCCAUAGGAUAGGGACAACAGUUGGAAACGACUGCUAAUACCUGAUGUGCCGAGAGGUGAAACUUAUAUGGCCUGUGGAUGAGCUCGCGUCUGAUUAGCUAGUUGGUGGGGUAAAGGCUCACCAAGGCGACGAUCAGUAGCUGGUCUGAGAGGAUGAUCAGCCACACUGGAACUGAGACACGGUCCAGACUCCUACGGGAGGCAGCAGUGGGGAAUUUUCCGCAAUGGGCGAAAGCCUGACGGAGCAAGACCGCGUGGGGGAUGAAGGUUUGUGGAUUGUAAACCCCUUUUGAUUGGGAAGAAUAACUGACGGUACCAAUCGAAUAAGCCUCGGCUAACUCCGUGCCAGCAGCCGCGGUAAUACGGAGGAGGCAAGCGUUAUCCGGAAUUAUUGGGCGUAAAGCGUCCGUAGGUGGUUUAGUAAGUCUGCUGUUAAAGCGCGGGGCUUAACUCCGUAUCGGCAGUGGAAACUACUAGACUAGAGUGUGGUAGGGGUAGAGGGAAUUCCCAGUGUAGCGGUGAAAUGCGUAGAUAUUGGGAAGAACACCGGUGGCGAAGGCGCUCUACUGGGCCAUAACUGACACUGAUGGACGAAAGCUAGGGGAGCGAAAGGGAUUA
Molecule: ribosomal RNA, 632 nt
Filed under: Tildeniella sp. BACA0012
Lineage: Bacteria; Bacillati; Cyanobacteriota; Cyanophyceae; Oculatellales; Oculatellaceae
Description: bacterial SSU rRNA
Rfam family: Bacterial small subunit ribosomal RNA
Source: RNAcentral